GGGGGCGACAUGGCUUCGACGGGAGUGGCAAAACCGGAGGUGCAUGCCGAGGGUCAGAUUACCUCGUAAAUCCAGCUGAUAACUUAUAGUUGCCAACGAUGACAACUACGCAAUGGCUGCAUAAUUAGACUUUAAACUCUAGUUAUACCAGCUGUAACCCAGUUCCGUUUUGCCUGUGACUCGGGCUGGGUGCAAUAGCCGCAGGAUCGCCAGAAGGGUCGUACUUACACCGGACGGUUAAACAAAUAAUGUACUCGCUUCUCUUUAUGGUGCCCGUCCUGCAUUGAGAAGUUAAAGCCAAUGACGGACCUAAGCAUGUAGUACCAAAGGCGGAGUGCUUUCGGACGGGGGUUCAAUUCCCCCCGCCUCCACCA
This 374-nucleotide transfer-messenger RNA is filed under the name Granulosicoccus sp. It matches the Rfam family "transfer-messenger RNA". Rfam says of the family: Bacterial tmRNA, also known as 10Sa RNA or SsrA, is named for its dual tRNA and mRNA-like properties. Its role is to liberate the mRNA from a stalled ribosome. To accomplish this part of the tmRNA is used as a reading frame that ends in a translation stop signal. Lineage: Bacteria; Pseudomonadati; Pseudomonadota; Gammaproteobacteria; Chromatiales; Granulosicoccaceae. The record is from RNAcentral.